RNAcentral lists this ribosomal RNA (253 nucleotides) under uncultured bacterium. RNAcentral's name for it is "partial 16S ribosomal RNA". It matches the Rfam family "Bacterial small subunit ribosomal RNA", at positions 524 to 776 of the family's 1533-position model. The record is from RNAcentral.
UACGGAGGGGGCUAGCGUUGUUCGGAAUUACUGGGCGUAAAGCGUACGUAGGCGGCUUUGUAAGUUAGAGGUGAAAGCCCGGAGCUCAACUCCGGAAUUGCCUUUAAGACUGCAUCGCUUGAAUCGUGGAGAGGUUAGUGGAAUUCCGAGUGUAGAGGUGAAAUUCGUAGAUAUUGGGAAGAACACCGGUGGCGAAGGCGGCGACCUGGUCCGUGACUGACGCUGAGGCGCGAAAGCGUGGGGAGCAAACAGG